RNAcentral lists this transfer RNA (67 nucleotides) under Microgale fotsifotsy (pale shrew tenrec). Its description in RNAcentral is "tRNA-Tyr". It matches the Rfam family "tRNA". Rfam says of the family: Transfer RNA (tRNA) molecules are approximately 80 nucleotides in length. Their secondary structure includes four short double-helical elements and three loops (D, anti-codon, and T loops). The record is from RNAcentral. Lineage: Eukaryota; Metazoa; Chordata; Mammalia; Afrosoricida; Tenrecidae.
GGUGAGAUGGCUGAGUAAAGCAUUAGACUGUAAAUCUAAAGACAGGAGUCUAGUCUCCUUUUCACCA